AUUUUGGACAAUGGGGGAAACCCUGAUCCAGCCAUCACGCGUGUAUGAUGAAGGCCUUCGGGUUGUAAAGUACUUUUGGCAGAGAAGAAAAGGUAUCUCCUAAUACGAGAUACUGUUGAUGGUAUCUAAUGUAUAAGAACCGGCUAACUACGUGCCAGCAGGCGCGGUAAUACGUAUGUUGCAAGCGUUAAUCGGAAUUACUGGGCGUAAAGCGUGUGUAGGCGGUUCGGAAAGAAAGAUGUGAAAUCCCAGGGCUCAACCUUGGAACUGCAUUUUUAACUGCCGGGCUAGAGUAUGUCAGAGGGGGGUAGAAUUCCACGUGUAGCAGUGAAAUGCGUAGAUAUGUGGAGGAAUACCGAUGGCGAAGGCAGCCCCCUGGGAUAAUACUGACGCUCAGACACGAAAGCGUGGGGAGCAAAC
This 420-nucleotide ribosomal RNA is filed under the name uncultured bacterium. RNAcentral describes it as "partial 16S ribosomal RNA". It matches the Rfam family "Bacterial small subunit ribosomal RNA", at positions 361 to 773 of the family's 1533-position model. The record is from RNAcentral.